GGAUGAGAGUAUGAAAGAUUGAUCAUGAAUUGACAAUUGUUGAAAUUUUGCGAUGGGUACAUGAGAGUUUAUUACAUAGUGUUCUAUCUAUUUUUGUAUAUGUUUCAAUUUCUCCAUAUUAAAAAGUUAAAAAAAAUCCUAGUGCACAUUGUUCGUUUUGCUGAUACCACAUAAAUUCCAUGAGUACAUGGUGGAGAGGAGAGAUAGGGAGGUGAAAAAGGAAGGGAAAGGAAGAGAAGAGGAGAUCAAGAUUGUAUACAAGACGCUGCCCACUUCUCCCCUACAGCCUGGGCUGGGAAGGAAGAGAAAAUGAUCAGAACAUAAUCAACCAACCCAACCACAUCUUGGUGAUGCACCUCAAAGGAAAUGAAUGAGACUUUACUUUUGAAGAGUGUGUGGGGGCUUAGCUUUUUACUCUGUCUGGGGAGAAAACUCCAGUUUAUUCUGGAAUAUGUCUCCACAACUCUGAUUUAUUUCAUCCAUCUGUCUCUGUGGAUCUCUUUCUGGCUUUGCAGGUGACAUGGAUGCUGCUGGACUGGGAUACACAUUUUGAGAACCACUGAUUUACUAUGAAUUAUAUUUGGAGCUAAGCUGACUCUCUUGAGAGUAAGUUUUACUUUCACUUAUUUGUUCCCCAUUGGUCUAUCCCUCAAAAGUGUUCCU
Molecule: long non-coding RNA, 663 nt
Filed under: Macaca mulatta (Rhesus monkey)
Lineage: Eukaryota; Metazoa; Chordata; Mammalia; Primates; Cercopithecidae
Description: lncRNA (ENSMMUG00000059817.1)
Source: RNAcentral